UUAGGUAUUACAAGAGACCGUCUUUUGAGACAUGUGUAGCUCAUUCGUGUCUCUCUAUGUCUCUCUCCCUUCCUCGACAUCUCCGUUCUUUCUUCAUCCUCGAUUCAGCAAUGGUAGAACAGAUGAAAUCUUCCUCUUUCCGACUCCCCCGACACCCUCUUUGUCCUUCUCCACUGCCUCUUCGAUUCCUCCGCCGAUCCUAAACCCCUGUGAAACGAGAAUCAACGCGUCUCCUCUCCUUCAACAUCAACGGGUCUUCGAUGGUGGGGCUCUUUGUUAAGCCUUUGUUCGAAGCUAUGGUGGAGCAGAACAAAAGCUUGCAGUCUGGUGCUGCUAUUAGUAUGGGGAAGAUGGUUAAUUCAGCAACGGGGCCUCCCGUUGUGGCUUUUCAGAAGUUGUGCCCUAGAAUCUAACAAGCUGCAGAAUCUGGCUGGGCAGCGUUCUGAUGUGCUUGAGAAUCUGUCUCCUAUAGUGAGAGCUCGUGUUGAUGCCUUGAAGGAUAUACAGAGCCAACACAUGAACUUGUCUUUUCUGGCUUCUUUCUCGCAUGGUCCUUCAGAUGCGUGGAACCAUCUGCCCUACUCAGAACUGGGAUGUCAUUAAAGUCAUGGAGCAUAUGGGAUCAUGGACAACAAGCUCAGUGCACCAGAGGUUUGAUCAAUGAUUCUUGAUUGGGAAGUAAGUUAAUUUGGUUGUUUCUUAAAUGUGAAUUCUGAUACGUGAAGCUGCUUGUAUGGGUUCGUUUCUUAGUUCCAUGAGUGUCUCCUAUGUCGAUUUUUUGUUCGUUACGGUAGAACGCUGAUCACUUUUUCUUUAGGUACUUUGGUUUGUAGAGUCUUGAAUCAUGUGCUCUUUGGUCAAUGUGAACUCCACGAUACGCGAAGCUGCUUGUAUGGUUUCUUUUCUAGUCUGGUUGUGAAAGAGUGGAGCAUUGGGAGCAUCCUUGCAACGGACAUGAAGCCUUUUUUUCUAGUCUGGUUGUGUUUGUUCUUAUGUGUCACUUGUUUUGUUGUGUCAAUUUUUUUUUAAGAACCCUUUGUUAAAACUCUUGCAAUGGACCACUUAAAUGUUUGGAUUUCUUAAGCUUGUCUCUUAGUUCACUUUUUGUGCUUAAAAGCAUUAAAAAAGUAAUAAGAACCCCUAAUAUGAGUC
This is a long non-coding RNA of Brassica oleracea var. oleracea, 1152 nucleotides long. RefSeq lists it as uncharacterized. The transcript is spliced from 4 exons. Lineage: Eukaryota; Viridiplantae; Streptophyta; Magnoliopsida; Brassicales; Brassicaceae. The record is from RefSeq and is a predicted model, not a curated record.